Molecule: long non-coding RNA, 80 nt
Organism: Mustela erminea (ermine)
Lineage: Eukaryota; Metazoa; Chordata; Mammalia; Carnivora; Mustelidae
Exons: 3
Source: RefSeq, a predicted model, not a curated record
CCUAGGUCGCUUAGUUGGUUAACCAUGUGACUCUUGAUUUCAGCUAUUGUCAUGAUCUCAGGGUCCUGGGAUCAAGCCCC